UCAGUUCAGAUUGCAGGCUGCAACCCGCCUGCAUGAAGUCGGAAUUGCUAGUAAUCGUAGGUCAGCAUACUACGGUGAAUACGUUCCCGGGCCUUGUACACACCGCCCGUCAAACCAUGAGAGUUGGCAACACCCGAAGUCGGUAGUCUAACCGCAAGGAGGACGCCGCCGAAGGUGGGGUUGAUGAUUAGGGUUAAGUCGUAACAAGGUAUC
This 213-nucleotide ribosomal RNA is filed under the name uncultured bacterium. Its description in RNAcentral is "partial 16S ribosomal RNA". It matches the Rfam family "Bacterial small subunit ribosomal RNA", at positions 1288 to 1500 of the family's 1533-position model. The record is from RNAcentral.